CCUACGGGGGGCAGCAGUGGGGAAUAUUGGACAAUGGGGGGAACCCUGAUCCAGCCAUGCCGCGUGUGUGAAGAAGGCCCUCGGGUUGUAAAGCACUUUCAGUGAGGAAGAACGCCUGGUGGUUAAUACCCAUCAGGAAAGACAUCACUCACAGAAGAAGCACCGGCUAACUCCGUGCCAGCAGCCGCGGUAAUACGGAGGGUGCGAGCGUUAAUCGGAAUUACUGGGCGUAAAGCGCGCGUAGGUGGCUUGAUAAGCCGGUUGUGAAAGCCCCGGGCUCAACCUGGGAACGGCAUCCGGAACUGUCAAGCUAGAGUGCAGGAGAGGAAGGUAGAAUUCCCGGUGUAGCGGUGAAAUGCGUAGAGAUCGGGAGGAAUACCAGUGGCGAAGGCGGCCUUCUGGACUGACACUGACACUGAGGUGCGAAAGCGUGGGUAGCAAACAGGAUUAGAUACCAGUGUAGUC
This 465-nucleotide ribosomal RNA is filed under the name Vreelandella stevensii. Its description in RNAcentral is "partial 16S ribosomal RNA". It matches the Rfam family "Bacterial small subunit ribosomal RNA", at positions 338 to 795 of the family's 1533-position model. The record is from RNAcentral. Lineage: Bacteria; Pseudomonadati; Pseudomonadota; Gammaproteobacteria; Oceanospirillales; Halomonadaceae.